This is a non-coding RNA of Pelobates cultripes (western spadefoot toad), 214 nucleotides long. NCBI's taxonomy places the organism in Eukaryota, Metazoa, Chordata, Amphibia, Anura, Pelobatidae. The record is from the annotation of a GenBank genome assembly.
CCAAAUGUGAACUUUUCCAUUCCCAUAAACAUUUAAAUAUUGAUUACAGCGCUGUCUGUGUGGAUAUCUAUAUCUGUCUCCACACAGACAGCGCUGUAAUCAAUAUUUAAAUGUUUAUGGGAAUGGAAAAGUUCACAUUUGGAAUGGAUAUCACAAAGACUGAAUCCGUUUCUAACAGCCACAUCCUUUAAAGAGACCCCUACCUUGGAUUCAU